UUUCCGUAGGUGAACCUGCGGAAGGAUCAUUACUGAGUGAGGGCCCCUCGGGGUCCAACCUCCCACCCGUGUUUAACGAACCUUGUUGCUUCGGCGGGCCCGCCUCACGGCCGCCGGGGGGCAUCUGCCCCCGGGCCCGCGCCCGCCGAAGCCACCUGUGAACGCUGUCUGAAGUAUGCAGUCUGAGACAAUUAUUAAAUUAAUUAAAACUUUCAACAACGGAUCUCUUGGUUCCGGCAUCAUGAAGAACGCAGC
This 255-nucleotide unclassified non-coding RNA is filed under the name plant metagenome. RNAcentral's name for it is "partial contains small subunit ribosomal RNA, internal transcribed spacer 1, and 5.8S ribosomal RNA". The record is from RNAcentral.